RNAcentral lists this ribosomal RNA (390 nucleotides) under uncultured bacterium. RNAcentral describes it as "bacterial SSU rRNA". It matches the Rfam family "Bacterial small subunit ribosomal RNA", at positions 29 to 402 of the family's 1533-position model. The record is from RNAcentral.
AACGAACGCUGGCGGUGUGCCUCAUACAUGCAAGUCGUACGCGAAUCCUGCCGCAAGGCAGGGUUUGAGUGGCAAACGGGUGCGUAACACGUAGGUAAUCUUCCUUUGAGUUGGGGAUAAGCCCUCGAAAGGGGGUCUAAUACCGAAUAACACUUCGGGCCGGCAUCGGCCUGAAAUUAAAGAUGGCCUCUGCUUGCAAGCUAUCGCUCGGAGAUGAGCCUGCGGCCGAUUAGUUAGUUGGCGGGAUAAAGCCCACCAAGACUUCGAUCGGUAGCCGGUCUGAGAGGAUGUCCGGCCACACUGGGACUGAGAUACGGCCCAGACUCCUGCGGGAGGCAGCAGUAGGGAAUAUUGCGCAAUGGCCGCAAGGCUGACGCAGCAACACCGCGU